This 464-nucleotide ribosomal RNA is filed under the name uncultured bacterium. Its description in RNAcentral is "partial 16S ribosomal RNA". It matches the Rfam family "Bacterial small subunit ribosomal RNA", at positions 339 to 795 of the family's 1533-position model. The record is from RNAcentral.
CUACGGGUGGCAGCAGUGGGGAAUAUUGCACAAUGGGCGCAAGCCUGAUGCAGCCAUGCCGCGUGUGUGAAGAAGGCCUUCGGGUUGUAAAGUACUUUCAGCGGGGAGGAAGGGUGUAAAGUUAAUACCUUUGCUCAUUGACGUUACCCGCAGAAGAAGCACCGGCUAAGUCCGUGCCAGCAGCCGCGGUAAUACGGAGGGUGCAAGCGUUAAUCGGAAUUACUGGGCGUAAAGCGCACGCAGGCGGUUUGUUAAGUCAGAUGUGAAAUCCCCGGGCUCAACCUGGGAACUGCAUCUGAUACUGGCAAGCUUGAGUCUCGUAGAGGGGGGUAGAAUUCCAGGUGUAGCGGUGAAAUGCGUAGAGAUCUGGAGGAAUACCGGUGGCGAAGGCGGCCCCCUGGACGAAGACUGACGCUCAGGUGCGAAAGCGUGGGGAGCAAACAGGAUUAGAUACCCCUGUAGUC